Molecule: long non-coding RNA, 1752 nt
Organism: Oreochromis niloticus (Nile tilapia)
Lineage: Eukaryota; Metazoa; Chordata; Actinopteri; Cichliformes; Cichlidae
Source: Ensembl
UUUUUUAAAUGUGUCUGUUUUGCCAGCAUGGUCAGUGUGAACGUUGCUGUGCUGUAAGAUGAUGCAUUACUAUGUCUUUUGUGUUUAAACAUUUUCUUUACCUUUGCACAGCCGUCUGGACAACGGUAUGGACAACAUGACGGUGAAUGAAAUCCAGGAUGUCUGUAGCAUCACCCUUGAUAAGAGCCCUUGCGGGCUGACCGAUGCGGUGGCAAACGUGGCUCAUGUCUUGCACUGCGCUGCUCGUAACAACCUGACCAUGACAGAAGCCGUCGUCUUGAAGCUGGUUCUAGAGCUGACUCAGCGUCUGAACUUGCUGAUCAAGGAGCUCUCCACAGCAGUGAGUACUGUCUAACAGCUCCACGGUGACUUAUAGCUUCACAACAUUGCUUUCAUAGCCAGGCUUGUGUUUUCACCACACACAUUGCAGCUUCAGCAAAUCAAUGCUUCCUCGUUCUUCAUCCCCUGUAGAACUUCACGCAGUUGGAAUCCGAGUUUAAGCAGAUCUUCAGCGAGUCAAACUCCGCAACUCUGACCCAGGAGCACCUGACGGACCCAGCCUUCAUCCAGCUCUGGUUCAAGGUCAAGCUGCUGCCCCUCCUGCCCAACGUACAGCCAGAGCUCCUCUCCUGCCUCAGCACCAAGAACUUCUCCUGCCCCGUUUACCAAACCCUGUAAGUCAACCGUCUUCAUUUCCCUUUCGUUUAACCGGAACGUGGUUUGGUGCAGUCGUUCUCAUUUUGUCUUUGCCCUGCUGUGUGCAGUGUGGCGGCGCUCAGUGAACGAAUGAACUUUUUGGAUGCUGAUCCGAUGUACAGCAGCAACAUCUACGAGUACUUCAUCUACACCUUCCUGCUAAAUCACAACACCUCGGGUAAGAAGAGGACACAGACAACACAUAUUAACGCACAGAUACUACAAAACCAGUUCUUAUGGCAUUUAUGUUAAUGUUUGUACAAAUGCUUCAGACCCCCAGUGUGUCUCUGCAGCUAAUAACAGCGCAGAAUGGCUGCAACUCAACUUUGGUUUCUUCUCAAGCUUUGCCUCUAUCAUCGACUUCUACACACUCAACUCUUAUUUCACUGGAGUAAGUUUGCAAAACACAGAUGUGCUCAAACAGACUUAACAGAAGCAGAAAUUUGACUAUAUAGUAAUUGUUCUCUCCUCUUCUGCUUUGUGUCCCGCUCAGCUGGAGGCUCUUGACCUCCUGACUCCAAAUCAGACGGUAGAGUUGCUGCUGUUGACUCUCCCAACUCCACCAGAGAAAGACGUUGUCAUCAGCCAAGUGUUUAACUUCCUGACGGAGUCACCUGCAGCCAGGAAGUACCCAGAGGUCCUCAGCGCUUUGGUCAGGCUCGCUGGAAAGGUAAUAGCUUUGGCUGAGAUGUGUAGGUGUUGAGCAUGCUUUAGCCUUCCUCAAAUAUUAAUCAUAAAAUAUGCAAUUUUUCAGAUCAAUCCUUCCUGCGACAUCUACAAACAAAUGUGAGUACCUUCAAAUGGUUUUCUGACACAAUAUGACUUAUGAUUCUUUCCAAACUGUUUUGUUCUUUGUAUGAAUCAGGAAAACUCUCUCACAGCAGACCAUGUUCAAGCUAAGGCUUCACUGCAAUGCAUUAAUGGCUAAAGCUGAACCAUUGCUAUUGCUAUUACUAAAUUCACCCUGAGAAAAACAGAAAGAGAAAGAAAUUAGAUUACACUAUAAAUCACGGCAUUAAUAUAGCUUAUUAACUGGAUUAAUACAGGAUAACGUAG